Molecule: ribosomal RNA, 429 nt
Filed under: uncultured archaeon
Lineage: Archaea
Description: bacterial SSU rRNA
Rfam family: Archaeal small subunit ribosomal RNA
Source: RNAcentral
UACCAGCUCUUCGAGUGGUGUGGAUGUUUAUUGGGCCUAAAGCAUCCGUAGCUGGCUGGGCAAGUCCCCUGUUAAAUCCACCGAUUUAAUCGUUGGAGUGCGGGGGAUACUGUUCGGCUAGGGGACGGGAGAGGCAGACGGUAUUUUCGGGGUAGGGGUGAAAUCCUAUAAUCCCGAGAAGACCACCAGUGGCGAAGGCUGUCUGCUAGAACGCGCCCGACGGUGAGGGAUGAAAGCUGGGGGAGCGAACCGGAUUAGAUACCCGGGUAGUCCCAGCUGUAAACGAUGCAGGCUAGGUGUUUGGACGGCCACGUGCCGUUCUAGUGCCGCAGGGAAGCCGUUAAGCCUGCCGCCUGGGGAGUACGGCCGCAAGGCUGAAACUUAAAGGAAUUGGCGGGGGAGCACCACAAGGGGUGAAGCUUGCGGUUU